GACCGCCAUGGUGACUUGCAAGCAACUCACUGCACUUAGGCACUGGACUACCUGAAUUUUUAAUUCAGUGAUGAAAGGCUGUUGGGUGUAGUCAAGUACUUGACUUGUCGGUGCGUGUGUCAAGAUGGGAUUGACCACUCUAGUUUAGGAGCUGUGUACAGUCGUAUUUCAAUUUAGCAAAAUCUUGGCCAGGGUAGUCCUUGUGAGGAGUCAUAGGACUGUUUGAGUUGAGCACA
RNAcentral lists this long non-coding RNA (236 nucleotides) under Elaeis guineensis (African oil palm). RNAcentral describes it as "long non-coding RNA (EGUI_LNC067856)". Lineage: Eukaryota; Viridiplantae; Streptophyta; Magnoliopsida; Arecales; Arecaceae. The record is from RNAcentral.